GGGGAUGUAGCUCAGUUGGCUAGAGCAUCUGCUUUGCAAGCAGGAUGUCGCAGGUUCGAGUCCUGUCAUCUCCACCA
This 77-nucleotide transfer RNA is filed under the name Alphaproteobacteria bacterium. Its description in RNAcentral is "tRNA-Ala". It matches the Rfam family "tRNA". Rfam says of the family: Transfer RNA (tRNA) molecules are approximately 80 nucleotides in length. Their secondary structure includes four short double-helical elements and three loops (D, anti-codon, and T loops). The record is from RNAcentral. Lineage: Bacteria; Pseudomonadati; Pseudomonadota; Alphaproteobacteria.